Molecule: ribosomal RNA, 404 nt
Filed under: uncultured bacterium
Lineage: Bacteria
Description: partial 16S ribosomal RNA
Rfam family: Bacterial small subunit ribosomal RNA
Source: RNAcentral
GACGAACGCUGGCGGCGUGCUUAACACAUGCAAGUCGAGCGGAGCGGCGAACGGGUGAGUAACGCGUGAGUAACUGCCCCCCUCUCUGGGACAACAGUUGGAAACGGCUGCUAAUACCGGAUAGUGGGGGAUGACUCGCGUCCUAUCAGCUUGUUGGUGGGGUAGUGGCCUACCAAGGCGACGACGGGUAGCCGGCCUGAGAGGGCGACCGGCCACCUUGGUCUGAUAUGCGGCCCAACGUCCGCCGAGAGGCAGAAGGGGGGGAUCUUGCUCCAUGGGGUAAACCAUGUUGCACCACUCCGAGGGCGGGAUGGCGGCCUUCGGGUUGUAACCCGCUUUCACCCAGGACCAGUAGGUGUCAAAAGACCCACGGGCAAACUCCGUGCCGGCAGCCACUGUAAUUC